AAGUCGUAACAAGGUCUCCGUAGGUGAACCUGCGGAGGGAUCAUUAAAGAGUCUGUCUCUAAUCGAGACAACCUCCAACCCUUUUGUUGUUAACAUCCUUGUUGCCUCCCAGUGAGGGGAUUUGAUUCUCCAGCUGGGGUGGACACCUUAUACUCUGUUUUAAUUGUAGUCUGAGAAAACAAGUUUAAUUUAAACAAAACUUUCAACAACGGAUCUCUUGGUUCUGGCAUCGAUGAAGAACGCAGCGAAAUGCGAUAAGUAAUGUGAAUUGCAGAAUUCAGUGAAUCAUCGAAUCUUUGAACGCACAUUGCGCCCUCUGGUAUUCCGGGGGGCAUGUCUGUUCGAGCGUCAUUACACCAAUCAAGCCUCGCUUGGUAUUGGAAGAUGUGGUUUCCUCACGGGAGCUGCACUUCUUGAAUUUUUCCGGCUGGUUAAUCAUUAAUCUUCUGCGUUGUGGAAACAUAUCUCGCUGCAAGUAUUGAAGGUUGGCAUCGCCGUUAAACAAUCUCUACACAAGGUUGACCUCGAAUCAGAUAGGAAUACCCGCUGAACUUAA
This 556-nucleotide ribosomal RNA is filed under the name uncultured fungus. RNAcentral describes it as "eukaryotic LSU rRNA". The stretch from base 198 to 351 matches the Rfam family "5.8S ribosomal RNA". The record is from RNAcentral. Lineage: Eukaryota; Fungi.